CCCCUGACCUCCGUCCACCAAAGGAUGUCUCAACUUUGACUAAAUUUGAAUGCAUCUAUACACUAAGUCACGUCUAGAUACAUCCAAGUUUUGACAAACUUGAGACAUCUUUUGUUGGACGGAGGGAGUAUAAG
Non-coding RNA from Brachypodium distachyon (stiff brome), 134 nucleotides. The record is from Rfam. Lineage: Eukaryota; Viridiplantae; Streptophyta; Magnoliopsida; Poales; Poaceae.